GAUGAACGCUGGCGGCGUGCUUAACACAUGCAAGUCGAACGUGAGAAUAGCAAUAUUUGAAAGUGGCAAACGGGUGAGUAAACACGUGGGAACCUGCCUCGAAGUGGGGGAUAACGAUUGGAAACGGUCGCUAAUACCGCACGGUUCUGCUCUGAUGGGAAUGGAGCAGAUAAAGAUUUAUCGCUUUGAGAGGGGCCCGCGGCCGAUUAGCUAGUUGGUAAGGUAAAGGCUUACCAAGGCGAUUAUCGGUAGCUGGUCUGAGAGGACGAUCAGCCACACGGGAACUGAGACACGGUCCCGACUCCUACGGGGGGCAGCAGUGAGGAAUAUUCGGCAAUGGGGGCAACCCUGACCGAGCAACGCCGCGUGGAGGAUGACGGUUUUCGGAUUGUAAACUCCUUUUCUCAGGGAAGAGUGAGGACGGUACCUGGGGAAUAAGUCACGGCUAACUACGUG
RNAcentral lists this ribosomal RNA (456 nucleotides) under uncultured bacterium. RNAcentral describes it as "bacterial SSU rRNA". It matches the Rfam family "Bacterial small subunit ribosomal RNA", at positions 28 to 507 of the family's 1533-position model. The record is from RNAcentral.